AGAGUUUGAUCAUGGCUCAGGACGAACGCUGGCGGCGUGCCUAAUACAUGCAAGUAGAACGCUGAAGAGAGGAGCUUGCUCUUCUUGGAUGAGUUGCGAACGGGUGAGUAACGCGUAGGUAACCUGCCUUGUAGCGGGGGAUAACUAUUGGAAACGAUAGCUAAUACCGCAUAACAAUGGAUGACCCAUGUCAUUUAUUUGAAAGGGGCAAAUGCUCCACUACAAGAUGGACCUGCGUUGUAUUAGCUAGUAGGUGAGGUAACGGCUCACCUAGGCGACGAUACAUAGCCGACCUGAGAGGGUGAUCGGCCACACUGGGACUGAGACACGGCCCAGACUCCUACGGGAGGCAGCAGUAGGGAAUCUUCGGCAAUGGGGGCAACCCUGACCGAGCAACGCCGCGUGAGUGAAGAAGGUUUUCGGAUCGUAAAGCUCUGUUGUGAGUCAAGAACGAGUGUGAGAGUGGAAAGUUCACACUGUGACGGUAGCUUACCAGAAAGGGACGGCUAACUACGUGCCAGCAGCCGCGGUAAUACGUAGGUCCCGAGCGUUGUCCGGAUUUAUUGGGCGUAAAGCGAGCGCAGGCGGUUUGAUAAGUCUGAAGUUAAAGGCUGUGGCUCAACCAUAGUUCGCUUUGGAAACUGUCAAACUUGAGUGCAGAAGGGGAGAGUGGAAUUCCAUGUGUAGCGGUGAAAUGCGUAGAUAUAUGGAGGAACACCGGUGGCGAAAGCGGCUCUCUGGUCUGUAACUGACGCUGAGGCUCGAAAGCGUGGGGAGCGAACAGGAUUAGAUACCCUGGUAGUCCACGCCGUAAACGAUGAGUGCUAGGUGUUGGAUCCUUUCCGGGAUUCAGUGCCGCAGCUAACGCAUUAAGCACUCCGCCUGGGGAGUACGACCGCAAGGUUGAAACUCAAAGGAAUUGACGGGGGCCCGCACAAGCGGUGGAGCAUGUGGUUUAAUUCGAAGCAACGCGAAGAACCUUACCAGGUCUUGACGUCCCGAUGCUAUUUCUAGAGAUAGAAAGUUACUUCGGUACAUCGGUGACAGGUGGUGCAUGGUUGUCGUCAGCUCGUGUCGUGAGAUGUUGGGUUAAGUCCCGCAACGAGCGCAACCCCUAUUGUUAGUUGCCAUCAUUCAGUUGGGCACUCUAGCGAGACUGCCGGUAAUAAACCGGAGGAAGGUGGGGAUGACGUCAAAUCAUCAUGCCCCUUAUGACCUGGGCUACACACGUGCUACAAUGGUUGGUACAACGAGUUGCGAGUCGGUGACGGCAAGCUAAUCUCUUAAAGCCAAUCUCAGUUCGGAUUGUAGGCUGCAACUCGCCUACAUGAAGUCGGAAUCGCUAGUAGUCGCGGAUCAGCACGCCGCGGUGAAUACGUUCCCGGGCCUUGUACACACCGCCCGUCACACCACGAGAGUUUGUAACACCCGAAGUCGGUGAGGUAACCUUUUGGAGCCAGCCGCCUAAGGUGGGAUAGACGAUUGGGGUGAAGUCGUAACAAGGUA
RNAcentral lists this ribosomal RNA (1506 nucleotides) under metagenome. RNAcentral's name for it is "bacterial SSU rRNA". It matches the Rfam family "Bacterial small subunit ribosomal RNA". The record is from RNAcentral.